Long non-coding RNA from Asterias rubens (European starfish), 543 nucleotides. RefSeq lists it as uncharacterized. NCBI's taxonomy places the organism in Eukaryota, Metazoa, Echinodermata, Asteroidea, Forcipulatida, Asteriidae. The record is from RefSeq and is a predicted model, not a curated record. The transcript has 3 exons.
CUCCAGUUUUCACUCCGUACUUUUCGGUAAAUUUCUCCGUUUUAUCUAAACAGUUGCGGGGAAAAAAACAUUUCCAAAUUCAAAAGGCUUUUUGCUGUAGUUCUGCCACUGAAAAAACAUCAACAACAAAACUAACGGAUCCUCAGCACCAUGAAUCAGGAUCAUCUUAAACUGUUUGUCUCAUGUCUGCCACCGUCAUGAAGAUGUCAAGAGAUCACCAGUAACAAGCUCAUAAUGAUCUGAAUAUGACUCAGGUAAAAUACAUAAUGCCUUUGAAGGUUAUGUUGAGAAAUGGAGCUUCACAUCAAUUAGAAUUAGCACCCAGAUUAAACUUAUCUAGCUAAAGGCUAAUCACUUUGUAAUGCAAUUCAUUUUAAGCUUCAAAUAACUCCAAUUGUUUUUGAAUUUGCAUCUUAAAUGGCAAUGACUCGAUACAAGCUACAUCUAAGUCCAAAGCUUGACUUACCCUUAGCGUUUAUUUUUUAAAUUUUAAUCCCAAAUUUGAUAAAACUGCUUGACCUUACCCCUUCUGAUUUUUUCAUU